Molecule: small nucleolar RNA, 84 nt
Organism: Vicia villosa (hairy vetch)
Lineage: Eukaryota; Viridiplantae; Streptophyta; Magnoliopsida; Fabales; Fabaceae
Source: RefSeq, a predicted model, not a curated record
AGGCCUGUGAUGAUUCAAAUUUGGAAUUACCGUCUGAAUAGCUUUAUUCUUUGAUGAAAAUUUUGGCUGUUUCUGAGGCUUUAA